This 468-nucleotide ribosomal RNA is filed under the name uncultured bacterium. RNAcentral's name for it is "partial 16S ribosomal RNA". It matches the Rfam family "Bacterial small subunit ribosomal RNA", at positions 28 to 507 of the family's 1533-position model. The record is from RNAcentral.
GACGAACGCUGGCGGCGUGCUUAACACAUGCAAGUCGAACGGAAAGGCCCUGCUUUUGUUGGGUGCUCGAGUGGCGAACGGGUGAGUAACACGUGAGUAUCCUGCCCUUGACUUUGGGAUAACUUCAGGAAACUCGGGCUAUUACCGGAUAGGAGCUCCUGCUGCAUGGUGUGGGUUGGAAAGUUUCGGCGGUUGGGGAUGGACUCGCGGCUUAUCAGCUUGUUGGUGGGGUAGUGGCUUACCAAGGCUUCGACGGGUAGCCGGCCUGAGAGGGUGACCGGCCACAUGGGGACUGAGAUACGCCCCAGACUCCAACGGGAGGCAGCAGUGGGGAAAAUGGCACAAUGGGCGGAAGCCUGAUGCGGCAACGCCGCGUGCGGGAUAACGGCCUUCGGGUGGUAAACCGCUUUCGCCGGUGACGAAGCGUGAGUGACGGUAAUGGGUAAAGAAGCACCGGCUAACUACGUG